AGUGAACGCUGGCGGUAGGCCUAACACAUGCAAGUCGAACGGCAGCACAGUAAGAGCUUGCUCUUACGGGUGGCGAGUGGCGGACGGGUGAGGAAUACAUCGGAAUCUACUUUUUCGUGGGGGAUAACGUAGGGAAACUUACGCUAAUACCGCAUACGACCUACGGGUGAAAGCAGGGGAUCUUCGGACCUUUCGCGAUUGAAUGAGCCGAUGUCGGAUUAGCUAGUUGGCGGGGUAAAGGCCCACCAAGGCGACGAUCCGUAGCUGGUCUGAGAGGAUGAUCAGCCACACUGGAACUGAGACACGGUCCAGACUCCUACGGGAGGCAGCAGUGGGGAAUAUUGGACAAUGGGCGCAAGCCUGAUCCAGCCAUACCGCGUGGGUGAAGAAGGCCUUCGGGUUGUAAAGCCCUUUUGUUGGGAAAGAAAAGCAGUAGGUUAAUACCCCGCUGUUCUGACGGUACCCAAAGAAUAAGCACCGGCUAACUUCGUG
This 492-nucleotide ribosomal RNA is filed under the name uncultured bacterium. Its description in RNAcentral is "partial 16S ribosomal RNA". It matches the Rfam family "Bacterial small subunit ribosomal RNA", at positions 29 to 507 of the family's 1533-position model. The record is from RNAcentral.